This is a long non-coding RNA of Odontomachus brunneus, 3846 nucleotides long. RefSeq lists it as uncharacterized. The transcript is spliced from 2 exons. The record is from RefSeq and is a predicted model, not a curated record. NCBI's taxonomy places the organism in Eukaryota, Metazoa, Arthropoda, Insecta, Hymenoptera, Formicidae.
GCAGGCGCGAAGGUGCGGGCGAAGGGCGCGCGGCGCAGCUGAAGGGAAACGCAGUUACGUGCGUGUCGUGGUGCGUAUACACUCGCCUGUGCGAAUAUAUCGAUCUCGCUACCGACCGACGCACGUUCUUCUUUCGGCCCGGACGUCGAGCGCGCGCCACGUCCAACUAACCCAACCACCCACGUUCUCGAUGCAAUCGCCGGCGAAAUCACGAGCCGUGUACACCGAGAUCAACUGAGGCAACGGACGUGUACCUUCUGACAUUAUCGUGACGGUGUUCUUUUUGCUGAUUGAUGCAAAGAAGAUAACUAGCGAAGAACUUGAGACAGAAAAAUGGAACUGCGUAAAAUCGUGGCACGAGUGUAUCCUGUUCAUGCUGACAACACAAAUGCGGCAUCGACAUCGUCUCGCCUCGCCACGAAAGAGCAAGGCCCAUCCUCCGCAAAGAUCCUCGACUGCGUUUAAAUAUAGUGCGUAUGCCGGUGAAGCAGGCGGUCCUCGACGCCGAGGAGUUUGGACGGUCGCCAGCGAGGUGGCCGAUCGACGGCGAGUUCUCCUCUUUGUGGCGCUUCCUCUGUUUCAACAUCCCGUUCUUCAUCAUACUUUUUUGCGUAGGGGGUAACCUCUAAAAUAUGAGGGAGCCGCUCUGUCAUUACAUUACGUUUUACGACGCACCGGCCGCGAAACGUGGAACCGGACGCGUAAGUUCAUGGAUGUUUUAUGGAUCAUCGACCGUCCUAACGUGAAGCUAGAUCAGAAAUCUGAACCGAGAACUAUACACAAGUGAUGAGAGAGAGAGAGAGAAAGAGGGGAAAAAAAGAGAACAAAGCGAUUAUAUGUUCUGAUUCUGUCGGAACAGAACGUAUAUUCCUCUUGGAAGGAUUAUAGCAGCUGAAGAUUUGUUUUAAGAAACAACUCGACUAAAGUCCGUAUUAAUAGCUGUCACUUGUAAUGUGAGAUACUCAGAUUUUUAUUAAGAAUUAGAUUAAAAUUUUUCAGUUGAAUUACUAUAUAUGUGAUAUUUACAAUCGAUAUCUACAAUCGCGAUCCAAAUAAAAAGCUCCUAAGUAAUAAUAGUCGUUACUUGAAACUUGCUUCAGAUAGGACACUCAGAUUUUAAUUUAGAGUUAGAUCUGAGUUUCUCAGUUGAAUCGCGAUUGCAAAUGUAUUGUCACAUAUAAAAUUCAUGGAGGUAAGAAAUAACAAAAGGGAGGGUAAAGCUUUUUAGGUAGUGAGGGUAAGUAUGCUACGUGAUUGGUUAGCUACAGUAUGGCGUUUUAUAUUUUAUUGUCGCGCUUUGAUAUAAACAAUAUCAAUAUGGCGCAUACUGUUCCCCUCUUGUCUACUAAAACAGGCCAAGGGGAGAAUAUUCUCUCUCUUGUUAUUUCUUAUCUCCAUGAUAUCAUUUAAAUAAAGAAAACGCUCAUUUAACUCUAAAUUUAUAUCUGAGUAUUUUACGUAGAACAAGUUUCAUGUAACGACUAUUAAUACGAGCCUGAAUAUAUCACUUGAAGCAUAACACAAUAAAUAUUAAUACGGGUCUAUAUCUAUAAUCGCCUAUAUCAUUAAUACCCAACACUGGUUUCCAGUGUGUUGACUAUUAAUACAUGCCGAAAUGUCACGAAAUCAGAUAAAUAUUAAUUCAGUAAACCGGAAAGUAUACGUCAGAGCCUCGCGAAGUAUCACUGGAAUAUGAUGAAAUCGAGAAUUCAACAAAUACAAUAACAUCGUAAUAUGUCGUAAUGUUCUUGUUUUGAGAACAGUGAGCGCUUUAAUGGAUGAUGUAUAGCUUACGAAUUUCAACCCUGAAUUAAUUCUAUUCGCAAGAACAAUUUUUUCUCUAUUCAUUAUUGAUCCUAGUAACAUAAAGAUGAUAUCUGAUAUUUUUCAUAAUUUUCUAAUAAACCAUUUUGGAGAAAUUAAAAUAUGGUUUCAGCGAAACAACCCUUUGAUAUGCUGCAUUAUUAUCAGUGCAAAUUAUAUUCUGCAUAAUAAUAAUUUUCUACUUUUCAUACAUCGUAAUAAUGCACAAGAAUAUUCUGUAUAGUCCAAAUAAAUACAAUAUCAGUAAAUUGCGAUUAUUUAUGGAACGGCCAGUGUCGAAGUGGAGAGACGACGAGUGCCGAUAGUUUAUUAGUUUUUACUGCUACAACCAAGUAAUAGGAUUAAAAUCUCGUCGACGAAUCAUGCAAGACAGAGUUGUCAAUAAUUGAUGGUUUGGCGGCGAGAAAUAUCGAUUAGUUUGCAUCGAUUUAAAGUACAUGUCGCCUUAGGGCAACGACGAUAUUAAAGGAUUGAAAUGGUGACGAAUCGUUUAAAUGUUGUCUCUCGCGAGUGCGCUGCUCAACAGCGCCGAGGUGUUAUUGAACUUUGAAUUCGUGUAUUUUUUGUGUAAUAUUAUCGGAAUUAUCAGUGUUAGCGAGAUAUUCCAAGGUACGGCGAGAUGUCCAUGAGAUAUGCCGAACAAUUACGCGAGAUAAGAGGCAAUUGCCGAUUGUUUGCGAACGUACGGCGCAAAUGUUUACCCGUAAGUCAGUCGUCCAAUGAAAUAAUCAAAUCGAUAUUCGAGUAUCAUCCUAUUAGAAUGAAAUGACACACAGUCGCCGGAGUCGAAAUGUGGCUCAAUGUGCGCCAAUGAGGCUAUCGUGCGAUCGGUUACCGCGAACACAAGCCGGUAAAUAAAUAUACCAGUGAUUCUAAGGUACGCGAGUAUCGAGUUCGCCAAAAUCGAUACUCUCCCCGUCCCUUGCGACGUCAGUACAAGGGUACGAAGGUAACAUAAGGUAAGCUUACAUAAACAGAUACACGUACACACGCGCAGAAUCACCGACAUACAGUAGGGGAAGGUCGUCGUGAGGCUAGUGGUCAAGUUAAUCUGGAAAAGCUCAUUAUACCUGUAGACAGGCUUCGAAAAUAACUCGAGGCGGAGGUGUUUUAACGUCCCUCUGUUUCGCAAAGAGAGGGAUCCGGAGCGUCGCGAUGCCCUUUUAUUACGUGCAUUCCAGUCGCUGUAUAUUCCUUCCGAUGAAUGAAUAUGCGGAUAGGCGCGCGCGGACGCGACAUAAACUUACCACUACCACCACGGCUAAUUCAAGAAGCGCGAGAGACAAAACGCGGGAAACUACGCGACGUUCUAGGACACGGCUUAGUCGUUCGCCCCUGGCAAAUUGUACGGCUUCGAAUGCCACUUCGACGGGUACGCUGAGAAAAAAAUGCUUGAAAAUUUAUUUGUGGAAUGUAUAGUUUAUUUACGUGCAAGAAAGUUUAUUUCAGUCAAAUAAAGCUCAUUUCUCUAUGUAAAUACUUUAUAACUUCUCUAUAUGUAAAAAGUAAAAUAUAAUUAUAUAAAAUAUAAUUUCUCUACGUAAAAAUUUCUUUACUUUUGCUCUAUGUAAAAACUUUAUAUCCCACACAAAUAAAUUUUCAAGUAUUUUUUUCUUAGUGUAUUUUUACAGCAAACUCGUACGUAUACUGAGAGAAAAAAUAGAUAAAAGAUAAAAAAUAUCUAUAUUCGUUAGGUACUAAUGUUUAUUGUACGUAAAAGGACUUCGAACUUCUAACAAUGUCGAUAAUGUACAGGCGACUGUCAAGUUGUCGUGUCAGAAACACUGACAUGUUCAUAUUAUUUUUGUCAUAUACUUCUUGUAAAUCAAUGUUAUAUAAAUAUGUGCCAUUUUGAUCAUAUUUAGCGAAAAACACAACCACUCAUAUACAGAAAUCUUUCUGCAAACUUCUCGUAUAUUUUUAAGCUUCUCCAAAUUCAAUCGUAAACGUGCAGCAGUGUUCUUUGAAAUUUUCUUGAGUGGAGCAAACGCUCCUCAUCGCGAAAUAAACGAUUAAUCAAUU